GAGACCUGUAUCUGCAAUUGCUAACGGCAUUACGAUGGACCGAGCACAUUGCAGGGACUGCCUUGGAAACAAGGAGGAAGGUGCAGGCUACGGUAGGUCUGUAUGCCCCGAAUCUCCUAGGCUACACGCGCGCAACAAUGGUAGAGACAAUGGGAUGCAACUCCGAAAGGAGAAGCUAAACCUCUAAACCCUAUCCAAGUUCAGAUUGAGGGUUGCAACUCACCCUCAUGACGUCGGAAUCCCUAGUAAUCAGGUUUCAUCAAAGCCUGGUGAAUAU
RNAcentral lists this ribosomal RNA (277 nucleotides) under uncultured archaeon. Its description in RNAcentral is "partial 16S rRNA". It matches the Rfam family "Archaeal small subunit ribosomal RNA", at positions 1047 to 1325 of the family's 1478-position model. The record is from RNAcentral.